ACGGGAGGCAGCAGUGGGGAAUAUUGGGCAAUGGGCGAAAGCCUGACCCAGCGACGCCGCGUGAGGGAAGAAGGUCUUCGGAUUGUAAACCUCUUUCAGCAGGGAAGAAGAAAGUGACGGUACCUGCAGAAGAAGUCACGGCUAACUACGUGCCAGCAGCCGCGGUAAUACGUAGGUGGCGAGCGUUACCCGGAAUGACUGGGUGUAAAGGGUGUGUAGGCGGGGAGACAAGUCAGGCGUGAAAUCUAUGGGCUCAACUCAGAGACUGCGCUUGAAACUGUCACGCUUGAGUGUGGGAGAGGUAAGCGGAAUUCCUGGCGUAGUGGUGGAAUGCGUAGAUAUCAGGAAGAACACCAGUGGCGAAGGCGGUUUACUGGACCGCAACUGACGCUGAGGCACGAAAGCGUGGGGAGCAAACAGGAUUAGAUACCCUGGUA
This 437-nucleotide ribosomal RNA is filed under the name uncultured Oscillospiraceae bacterium. RNAcentral's name for it is "bacterial SSU rRNA". It matches the Rfam family "Bacterial small subunit ribosomal RNA", at positions 341 to 792 of the family's 1533-position model. The record is from RNAcentral. Lineage: Bacteria; Bacillati; Bacillota; Clostridia; Eubacteriales; Oscillospiraceae.